GGACUACUGGGGUAUCUAAUCCCGUUCGCUCCCCUGGCCUUCGCGCCUCAGCGUCAGUUUCUGUCCAGGCAGCCGCCUUCGCCGCUGGUGUUCCUCCCAAUAUCUACGCAUUUCACCGCUACACUGGGAAUUCCACUGCCCCCUCCAGAACUCAAGCCUCACAGUAUUAGAUGCAAUUCCCAGGUUAAGCCCGGGGCUUUCACAGCUAACUUGCAAGACCGCCUACGCGCCCUUUACGCCCAAUAAUUCCGAACAACGCUUGCCACCCCCGUAUUACCGCGGCUGCUGGCAC
This 292-nucleotide ribosomal RNA is filed under the name uncultured Acidobacteriota bacterium. RNAcentral describes it as "uncultured Acidobacteria bacterium partial 16S ribosomal RNA". The record is from RNAcentral. Lineage: Bacteria; Pseudomonadati; Acidobacteriota.